Molecule: non-coding RNA, 109 nt
Organism: Acanthosepion pharaonis
Lineage: Eukaryota; Metazoa; Mollusca; Cephalopoda; Sepiida; Sepiidae
Source: the annotation of a GenBank genome assembly
UUACGGCUAUAUGAGGCUGAAACAUCUGUUCUCGUUCGAUCACCGAAGAUAAGCAAAGUCGAGCCUGGUCAGUAUCUAGACGGGUGACCGCUUGGGAAUAACAGGUGCU